RNAcentral lists this ribosomal RNA (596 nucleotides) under uncultured Alphaproteobacteria bacterium. Its description in RNAcentral is "bacterial SSU rRNA". It matches the Rfam family "Bacterial small subunit ribosomal RNA", at positions 87 to 717 of the family's 1533-position model. The record is from RNAcentral. Lineage: Bacteria; Pseudomonadati; Pseudomonadota; Alphaproteobacteria.
AAUACUUAGUGGCAGACGGGUGAGUAACAUGUGGGUAUCUACCCUUUGGCCUGGAAUAACACGAGGAAACUUGUGCUAAUACCGGAUAAGUCUUUACGGAGAAAGCUUUAUGCACCAUUGGAUGAGCCCGCACUUGAUUAGUUUGUUGGUAGGGUAAUGGCCUACCAAGACUAUGAUCAAUAGCUGAUUUGAGAGGAUGAUCAGCCACAUUGGGACUGAGACACGGCCCAAACUCCUACGGGAGGCAGCAGUGGGGAAUCUUGCACAAUGGAGGAAACUCUGAUGCAGCGAUGCCGCGUGAGUGAAGAAGGCCUUUGGGUUGUAAAGCUCUUUCGUCGGGGAAGAAAAUGACUGUACCCGAAUAAGAAGGUCCGGCUAACUUCGUGCCAGCAGCCGCGGUAAUACGAAGGGACCUAGCGUAGUUCGGAAUUACUGGGCUUAAAGAGUUCGUAGGUGGUUGAAAAAGUUGGUGGUGAAAUCCCAGAGCUUAACUCUGGAACUGCCAUCAAAACUUUUCAGCUAGAGUAUGAUAGAGGAAAGCAGAAUUUCUAGUGUAGAGGUGAAAUUCGUAGAUAUUAGAAAGAAUACCAAUUGCG